GGGGAAAGGUAGCUUGCUACCUGACCUAGCGGCGGACGGGUGAGUAAUGCUUAGGAAUCUGCCUAUUAGUGGGGGACAACAUUCCGAAAGGGAUGCUAAUACCGCAUACGCCCUACGGGAGAAAGCAGGGGAUCUUCGGACCUUGCGCUAAUAGAUGAGCCUAAGUCAGAUUAGCUAGUUGGUGGGGUAAAGGCCUACCAAGGCGACGAUCUGUAGCGGGUCUGAGAGGAUGAUCCGCCACACUGGGACUGAGACACGGCCCAGACUCCUACGGGAGGCAGCAGUGGGGAAUAUUGGACAAUGGGGGGAACCCUGAUCCAGCCAUGCCGCGUGUGUGAAGAAGGCCUUUUGGUUGUAAAGCACUUUAAGCGAGGAGGAGGCUACUUAGAUUAAUACUCUAGGAUAGUGGACGUUACUCGCAGAAUAAGCACCGGCUAACUCUGUGCCAGCAGCCGCGGUGAUACAGAGGGUGCGAGCGUUAAUCGGAUUUACUGGGCGUAAAGCGUGCGUAGGUGGCUUCUUAAGUCAGAUGUGAAAUCCCUGAGCUUAACUUAGGAAUUGCAUUCGAUACUGGUAGGCUAGAGUAUGGGAGAGGAUGGUAGAAUUCCAGGUGUAGCGGUGAAAUGCGUAGAGAUCUGGAGGAAUACCGAUGGCGAAGGCAGCCAUCUGGCCUAAUACUGACACUGAGGUGCGAAAGCAUGGGGAGCAAACAGGAUUAGAUACCCUGGUAGUCCAUGCCGUAAACGAUGUCUACUAGCCGUUGGGGCCUUUGAGGCUUUAGUGGCGCAGCUAACGCGAUAAGUAGACCGCCUGGGGAGUACGGUCGCAAGACUAAAACUCAAAUGAAUGAACCGGGG
RNAcentral lists this ribosomal RNA (857 nucleotides) under uncultured Gammaproteobacteria bacterium. Its description in RNAcentral is "bacterial SSU rRNA". It matches the Rfam family "Bacterial small subunit ribosomal RNA", at positions 68 to 919 of the family's 1533-position model. The record is from RNAcentral. Lineage: Bacteria; Pseudomonadati; Pseudomonadota; Gammaproteobacteria.